RNAcentral lists this long non-coding RNA (485 nucleotides) under Medicago truncatula (barrel medic). RNAcentral's name for it is "long non-coding RNA (MTRU_LNC007949)". Lineage: Eukaryota; Viridiplantae; Streptophyta; Magnoliopsida; Fabales; Fabaceae. The record is from RNAcentral.
UCUAAUGUUAUAAGCCCUAAUGCUAUAAGCAUCUAUAUAAGUUGUUUAUCCAAACGGGGCCCAAGUCCAAUUCAUCGAACACCACUCUUCUUCCUUUUAAAUCUCUCUACCAUGAAAAAAAUCAACUUCCCUUAAAACACAAAUUGCUCCCUCGUCGUCACACUCACCCGUCAGUAUCUCACACCUCCAAUCAAACUCCAGUUGUCCCACAACUCAGGUAACCACAACCACAACGUUGUUGUGCUUUUCCGAUCGAUCAAGAAUAAGGAUUUAUCCAGAUCAAUAACUUCCUUAGAUCUUGAAUAUGACACUCACAACAAAUUAUUUCUACCAAAGAUUAACAACACACAGAGAUUGGGAAAAGUGAGAGUACUAGUUUCACAAAAUUUGUAUUAUGUAACGAGAUUCAAGGCAUAAUUGGCUUUGUUCUCGAAAAAAAAAACAUAAAAGAGGGAUGGUUUUGGUUUUGAAGUUUUACGCAUGAU